UCCCUGGAUCCUGGCUCCAGGGGUGAAAAAGCUGGGAUCAGGGAGAUUCCCACCUUCCUGGAUGUUUGGGAUGAGCUGGGAAGGAGCCACUGGGAGCAGGAACAUUCCCACUUUCCUGGAUGUUUGGGAUGAGCUGGGAAGAGAAGAUGGAUCCCGGAGCAUCCCUGGAUCCCUGGCUCCAGGGGUGUAAACACUGGGAAGAGGGAUCCUGGAGCAUCCCUGGAUCCUGGCUCCAGGGGUGAAAAAGCUGGGAUCAGGGAGAUUCCUACCUUCCUGGAUGUUUGGGAUGAGCUGUGAAGGAGCCACUGGAAGCUGAAACAUUCCCACCUUCCCGGAUGUUUGGGAUGGGAUGGGAAGGGGCCACUGGGAGCAGGAACAUUCCCACUUUCCUGGAUGUUUGGGAUGGGAAUGCUGAGGAUGCUCCAGGUGGGGUUGGUGCAAACCCUGGGAAGAGGGAAAUUCCCAAUUCCUGGAUGUUUGGGAUGGGAUGGGAAGGAGCCACUGGGAUCAGGGACAUUCCCAAUUCCUGGAUGUUUGGGAUGGGAUGGGAAGGGGCCACUGGAAGCCGGAACAUUCCCAAUUCCUGGAUAUUUGGGAUGGGAUGGGAAGGAGCCACUGGAAGCCGGAACAUUCCCACCUUCCCGGCCGUGUCAUUCCCAACCAUAACCUGGAAUAUUCCCCUUCCUGGAUCCAGCGGGACGAGGAAUCCCCGGGAUCCCAUUCCCGGGUUAUCCCAUCCCUUGGGAGCGACACAACCCCCCCCGGGAAUGUUCAUUAUCCCGGGAAAAGCUGCUCCGGGAGCGUCGUUCCCGCUUUUCCCGAGCCGGGAUCGGGCUCCCGUCCCUCUUGGAAUGUGGAUUUCCCGCCGAUAUUCGGGAAUUUUUUCCCUCCUGGGCUGCUUUUUCCCCUCAAAAUCAUGGAUUAAUCCCGGAUUUUUUGGGGGAAUGGGAUCCUUUCACUCUUCCCUUGUUUUCUGGGAAGGAGGAAUAACUGGGAAGAGCUUUUUCCCUCCUCUAGUUCAGGAAUAUCCCGAGGGAAUUGUCGCUUCCCAAAGGUUCAGAUCGACACAAAUCCUGUUUUUCCUCUCAAAAUCAUGGAUUAAUCCCGGAUUUUUUGGGGGAAUGGGAUCCUUUCGCUCUUCCUUCUUUUUCUGGGAAGGAGGAAUAACUGGGAAGAGCUUUUUCCCUCCUCUAGUUCGGGAAUAUCCCGAGGGAAUUGUCGCUUCCCAGAUUUUAACAUCGACACGAAUCCCGUUUUCCCUUGGAAUUAACUCCCGUUUUCCCUCUCCCAGCUGGAUAAAAACACGGAUUGGGAUCCGCCAGGGCUUGGAAUUCCGGCCGGUGACCCCGCUGGGAUCUCCUUCCCGCCCAAUUCCCUGGAAAACUUCCCCCCCUUCGUCCUUAAUUCCGGCUCCGGAAUUCCCUUUUCCGUUCCCCGUUUUCCCCCGGAGGAAGGCGGAUUAUCCCGUUUUCCAGGUGCUGCAAUUCCCGGAAUCCCGAGAUUUCCCGGCCUUGGGAAUGGUUUGGAGGCUUCUCCCGUUCCCGCUGCUUCUCCUGGGAAUUUGGGGGGGGGGGUUUUCCUGGGAAUUUGGGGGGUUUUUCCUGCCUUUUUCCCGGAUCCGGGCGGACGUUUGGAGCUGAUCCCGCACUUUUCGCUUCCCGGGAUUCCCGAGGGUGGGGGUGGAUUUUCCUCCAUUAAAUCCCGCUGGGAAUAACGGGAGAGCCCCGG
This 1728-nucleotide long non-coding RNA is filed under the name Lepidothrix coronata (blue-crowned manakin). RNAcentral describes it as "lncRNA (ENSLCOG00000001706.1)". The record is from RNAcentral. Lineage: Eukaryota; Metazoa; Chordata; Aves; Passeriformes; Pipridae.